This 620-nucleotide ribosomal RNA is filed under the name uncultured Actinomycetes bacterium. RNAcentral's name for it is "bacterial SSU rRNA". It matches the Rfam family "Bacterial small subunit ribosomal RNA", at positions 304 to 916 of the family's 1533-position model. Lineage: Bacteria; Bacillati; Actinomycetota; Actinomycetes. The record is from RNAcentral.
UCAGCCACACUGGGACUGAGACACGGCCCAGACUCCUACGGGAGGCAGCAGUGGGGAAUCUUGCGCAAUGGGCGAAAGCCUGACGCAGCGACGCCGCGUGAGGGAAGAAGGCCUUCGGGUUGUAAACCUCUUUCAGGAGGGACGAAGCUACUCGGGUUAAUAGCCCAGAGGGUGACGGUACCUCCAGAAGAAGCCCCGGCUAACUACGUGCCAGCAGCCGCGGUAAUACGUAGGGGGCAAGCGUUGUCCGGAUUUACUGGGCGUAAAGAGCGUGUAGGCGGCAAAGCAGGUCUGUUGUGAAAACUGGAGGCUCAACCUCCAGACGUCGACAGAAACCGCUUGGCUAGAGUCCGGAAGAGGAGAGUGGAAUUCCUGGUGUAGCGGUGAAAUGCGCAGAUAUCAGGAAGAACACCAAUGGCGAAGGCAGCUCUCUGGGACGGUACUGACGCUGAGACGCGAAAGCGUGGGGAGCGAACAGGACUAGAUACCCUGGUAGUCCACGCCGUAAACGAUGGGUGCUAGGUGUGGGGGGUGUCGACUCCCUCCGUGCCGCAGCUAACGCAUUAAGCACCCCGCCUGGGGAGUACGGCCGCAAGGCUAAAACUCAAAGGAAUUGACGG